GCCCCAAGAUAGCUCAGUCUGCAGAGCAUGAGACGCUUAAUCUCAGGGUUGUGGGUUUGAACCCCACGUUGGGCA
Podarcis lilfordi (Lilford's wall lizard) is the source of this 75-nucleotide non-coding RNA. Lineage: Eukaryota; Metazoa; Chordata; Lepidosauria; Squamata; Lacertidae. The record is from the annotation of a GenBank genome assembly.